This 439-nucleotide ribosomal RNA is filed under the name Aggregatibacter segnis. RNAcentral's name for it is "bacterial SSU rRNA". It matches the Rfam family "Bacterial small subunit ribosomal RNA", at positions 45 to 477 of the family's 1533-position model. The record is from RNAcentral. Lineage: Bacteria; Pseudomonadati; Pseudomonadota; Gammaproteobacteria; Pasteurellales; Pasteurellaceae.
GGCUUAACACAUGCAAGUCGAACGGUAACAGGAGAGAGCUUGCUUUCUUGCUGACGAGUGGCGGACGGGUGAGUAAUGCUUGGGAAUCUGGCUUAUGGAGGGGGAUAACGACGGGAAACUGUCGCUAAUACCGCGUAGAGUCGAGAGACGAAAGUGCGGGACCGCAAGGCCGCAUGCCAUAGGAUGAGCCCAAGUGGGAUUAGGUAGUUGGUGGGGUAAUGGCCUACCAAGCCGACGAUCUCUAGCUGGUCUGAGAGGAUGACCAGCCACACCGGGACUGAGACACGGCCCGGACUCCUACGGGAGGCAGCAGUGGGGAAUAUUGCGCAAUGGGGGCAACCCUGACGCAGCCAUGCCGCGUGAAUGAAGAAGGCCUUCGGGUUGUAAAGUUCUUUCGGUGACGAGGAAGGAGUGAUGUUUAAUAGGCAUCACGAUUGAC